This 468-nucleotide ribosomal RNA is filed under the name uncultured bacterium. RNAcentral's name for it is "partial 16S ribosomal RNA". It matches the Rfam family "Bacterial small subunit ribosomal RNA", at positions 28 to 507 of the family's 1533-position model. The record is from RNAcentral.
GACGAACGCUGGCGGCGUGCUUAACACAUGCAAGUCGAACGGAAAGGCCCUGCUUUUGUGGGGUUCUCGAGUGGCGAACGGGUGAGUAACACGUGAGUAACCUGCCCUUGACUUUGGGAUAACUUCAGGAAACUGGGGCUAAUACCGGAUAGGAGCUCCUGCUGCAUGGUGGGGGUUGGAACGUUGCGGCGGUUGGGGAUGGACUCGCGGCUUAUCAGCUUGUUGGUGGGGUAGUGGCUUACCAAGGCUUUGACGGGUAGCCGGCCUGAGAGGGUGACCGGCCACAUUGGGACUGAGAUACGGCCCAGACGCCUACGGGAGGCAGCAGGGGGGAAUAUUGCACAAUGGGCGGAAGCCUGAUGCAGCAACGCCGCGGGCGGGAUGACGGCCUUCGGGUUGUAAACCGCUUUCGCCUGUGACGAAGCGUGAGUGACGGUAAUGGGUAAAGAAGCACCGGCUAACUACGUG